GUUGACCUCGGAUCAGGUAGGGAUACCCGCUGAACUUAAGCAUAUCAAUAAC
This 52-nucleotide ribosomal RNA is filed under the name Fulvia fulva. RNAcentral's name for it is "Passalora fulva partial 28S ribosomal RNA". The record is from RNAcentral. Lineage: Eukaryota; Fungi; Ascomycota; Dothideomycetes; Mycosphaerellales; Mycosphaerellaceae.